UGGCCGCGGUAUUUUGACUGUGCUAAGGUAGCAUAAUAAUUAGGUUAUUUAUUGUGAUCUUGAAUGAAGGGUUAGACGUAGGAGAUUCUUUCUUAUUAUUAUACUUGAAUUUAAAAAACUAGUAAAAAUGCUGGUUUUAUUUAUUAAACGAGAAGACCCUAUUAAGUUUAAUAUAUUUUAUUUUGCUUUUUAGAUUUAACUAGAUUAAUUUAUAUUUUACUGGGGCGGUUAAUUAUAAGAUUACAUUAUAAAUAUUUUAUUAUAUAAAAUUAUUGAUCCAUUAUUAAUGAUUAUUAGAUUAAAUUACUAUAGGGAUAACAGCAUAAUUGUGUUGAAGAGUUCUUAUUGAUAACACAGUUUAUGACCUCGAUGUUGAAUCAAAAAUUUCUUAAAGGUGUAGAUGUUUUUUUAGAUAGUCUGUUCGACUAUUGAUAUUUUACG
This 441-nucleotide ribosomal RNA is filed under the name Cormocephalus sp. CES091075. Its description in RNAcentral is "partial 16S ribosomal RNA". The record is from RNAcentral. Lineage: Eukaryota; Metazoa; Arthropoda; Chilopoda; Scolopendromorpha; Scolopendridae.